GUCAGGAUGGCCGAGUGGUCUAAGGCGCCAGACUCAAGCAGUUCUGCUUCCUUGUGUAGAGGUUUCUGGUCUCCGUUUGGAGGCGUGGGUUCAAAUCCCACUCCUGACA
RNAcentral lists this transfer RNA (109 nucleotides) under Otolemur garnettii (small-eared galago). It matches the Rfam family "tRNA". Rfam says of the family: Transfer RNA (tRNA) molecules are approximately 80 nucleotides in length. Their secondary structure includes four short double-helical elements and three loops (D, anti-codon, and T loops). Further hydrogen bonds mediate the characteristic L-shaped molecular structure. tRNAs have two regions of fundamental functional importance: the anti-codon, which is responsible for specific mRNA codon recognition, and the 3' end, to which the tRNAs corresponding amino acid is attached (by aminoacyl-tRNA synthetases). tRNAs cope with the degeneracy of the genetic code in two manners: having more than one tRNA (with a specific anti-codon) for a particular amino acid; and 'wobble' base-pairing, i.e. permitting non-standard base-pairing at the 3rd anti-codon position. Lineage: Eukaryota; Metazoa; Chordata; Mammalia; Primates; Galagidae. The record is from Rfam by way of RNAcentral.